This 349-nucleotide ribosomal RNA is filed under the name uncultured bacterium. RNAcentral describes it as "bacterial SSU rRNA". It matches the Rfam family "Bacterial small subunit ribosomal RNA", at positions 8 to 349 of the family's 1533-position model. The record is from RNAcentral.
AGAGUUUGAUCAUGGCUCAGGAUGAACGCUAGCGACAGGCUUAACACAUGCAAGUCGAGGGGCAGCGAGGGAGUGGCAACACUUCUGUCGGCGACCGGCGCACGGGUGAGUAACGCGUAUGCAACCUGCCCUUCACAGGGGGAUAACCGGGAGAAAUUCCGACUAAUACCGCAUACGUCCCCUGGGGGCAUCCCCUGGGGAUGAAAGAAUUAUCGGUGAAGGAUGGGCAUGCGUGAUAUUAGGUAGUUGGCGGGGCAACGGGUCCACCGAAGCCCACGAUAUCUAGGGGUUCUGAGAGGAAGGUCCCCCACAUCGGUACUGAGACACGGACCAAACUCCUACGGGAGCA